This 481-nucleotide unclassified non-coding RNA is filed under the name rhizosphere metagenome. Its description in RNAcentral is "partial ribosomal RNA internal transcribed spacer region". The record is from RNAcentral.
GUCGCCGCCGCCGUCCUUCCCGAUUGCGCCCGCCGAAGCCUCCCUGCCGCGACGAGAAACAAGAGCAGCAGUCCGCCGAUCCCGGCGGGCGACGCGGUCACUGUGCUGAGAUUCCCCCCGGGGAUAUCAGCAGUGAGCACCCGAGCGGGUGGUCAUCCACAGAUCAGACGACCGUGGCCGGCGCCCCCCCCUCCCGGGGGCGUCGGUUCAGAUAUGACCGGUCCCGGCUGUGGCCAGCCGGGAGUCGACGUUCCGUAGGUGAACCUGCGGAAGGAUCAUUACCGAGCGAGGGUCCCCCGGGGCCCGAACCUCCCACCCUUUGUGAACCAUACCUCUUGUUGCUUUGGCGGGCCCGCGGGGCCUCCCGCCGCCGGCCCCGGCCGGCCAGCGCCCGUCAGAGUCCCCCCAAACUCCGUGAACCGUGACGUCUGAGUCCACACUAAAUAGCACAAAACUUUCAACAACGGAUCUCUUGGUUCUG